RNAcentral lists this long non-coding RNA (199 nucleotides) under Lathyrus oleraceus (garden pea). Its description in RNAcentral is "Pisum sativum (pea) long non-coding RNA (PSAT_LNC002275)". Lineage: Eukaryota; Viridiplantae; Streptophyta; Magnoliopsida; Fabales; Fabaceae. The record is from RNAcentral.
CCUCGCCAAGGUCGUUGAAAGAUCGGAUGUUCGCACUGUCCAAGCCCAUGUACCAACGUAGGGCAGCACCGAACAAACUGUCUUGAAAGUAGUGGAUGAGCAAUUGGUCGUUGUCGGUCUGAGUCGACAUUUUCCUGGAAUACAUGACCAGGUGGCUGAGAGGGCAAGUAUUUCCCUUGUACUUUUUAAAGUCAGGGAC